GACGAACGCUGGCGGCGUGCCUAAUACAUGCAAGUUGAGCGAUGAAGAUUGGUGCUUGCACCAAUUUGAAGAGCAGCGAACGGGUGAGUAACGCGUGGGGAAUCUGCCUUUGAGCGGGGGACAACAUUUGGAAACGAAUGCUAAUACCGCAUAAUAACUUUAAACAUAAGUUUUAAGUUUGAAAGAUGCAAUUGCAUCACUCAAAGAUGAUCCCGCGUUGUAUUAGCUAGUUGGUGAGGUAAAGGCUCACCAAGGCGAUGAUACAUAGCCGACCUGAGAGGGUGAUCGGCCACAUUGGGACUGAGACACGGCCCAAACUCCUACGGGAGACAGCAGUAGGGAAUCUUCGGCAAUGGACGAAAGUCUGACCGAGCAACGCCGCGUGAGUGAAGAAGGUUUUCGGAUCGUAAAACUCUGUUGGUAGAGAAGAACGUUGGUGAGAGUGGAAAGCUCAUCAAGUGACGGUAACUACGCAGAAAGGGACGGCUAACUACGUG
RNAcentral lists this ribosomal RNA (497 nucleotides) under uncultured bacterium. RNAcentral describes it as "partial 16S ribosomal RNA". It matches the Rfam family "Bacterial small subunit ribosomal RNA", at positions 28 to 507 of the family's 1533-position model. The record is from RNAcentral.